Molecule: ribosomal RNA, 1373 nt
Filed under: uncultured archaeon
Lineage: Archaea
Description: partial 16S ribosomal RNA
Source: RNAcentral
UUGUCUGGUGAAUUUCAACAUGUUGAAAAAAGAGGUAAAAAAGCCUCAUUUGGCGUAAGUUUUUUGCAGAGAACCCACGCUUAUACCUUAGACAUAAAUCCUUUGAUAGUCGCUUGAUUAGCUGCGCACCAUACGCAGCCCUGGCCUCGCCACCUUGUUCAAAUUCGACAAUUCGUCGGCCAAUUUCCUGGUACGUCGCGGUCAUUAACGCGUUAACGCUACGUACCGUUUCCGUCCGGGCGCUAUCGACCAGAUGAAUAAUACCGUCGUGGAUUUGCUGGUAGCCUGCUGUGGUUCCUUCUGAGAGCGAUUCCAUUAUCUGUCCCUUUAUAUGGAGCUAAGUUGAAUAAUGGAAUGAGCUAUACUCUGGGGGGUGAGCACUGAACAAUUAAGAACAGCGUAUUACAUUUACUUUCCCCAAGAUAUGCGAAGAGCUUUCCUGAAACAUUAACCGAUCGUAUAAAACGAAUGCCUGAUAGUACUCCUGUCCGGCAUUGUUAUCACAAGUAGACUACGCUUAUCACAGCUUUCCCAUCAAGUUCGAUUUUUUCUGAACCGCCUAAAUCAUUCGCGAUAGAUGCGCUCACCUGAAGCGGUAUAAUGGCGUUCGUUACAGGAGUUGGGGUUGUUUCACCUGGUUUUACAAAGGUGUAAUAAUAGCUUUGAUCGACUGCAAGCGGAUAAGCGGUGAGCGUUUGCCAUGCUCUUUUUUGCCCUGUUAUGACGGCAUCUGCACCUGCUAUUGAUACAGCUAACGUCUGGCUACCAUUGCUGGCACUAAUGUUGUUGCUAUCAAUUAACACGGCAUAACUACCGAUAUUUUUAUUAUCUUUUGUUUUCCCUAAGCCGAAUAAGCGCGUUGUCUGGCUAAUAUAACCUCCGCCAUUUAAGGUAUAUUUUACACCACUCUGACCCCCACUAUCUUUUCCGGUGGUCAUACUAUCCAUUCGUGUAUCACGAGCGGUAAUCGCAAUGCCGGUAGCGGAUUCGCAAGUUAUAGUCAUAUUAAUAUUACGUGUUCCAAUCUGUGUGUAGUGCUGCGUUGAAAGUCUAUUGACUGAAUGACUACCGAAGUUAACAACUCCGCCGUUGCUUAGUAUUGGAGUACAAGCUGCAGCUUCCAGAGUCACCUUAACGUCAAUUGAUACUCUAUCAGCGGCUUGCGCUGACAUGGCAAAAAAGGCACUUCCGGCAAUCAGUAAUUUUACAUUGUUCAUUUUGCCUCCACCAGGACCGUCAGAUUGCCUGUAAUAUCUGUCAUGUCGGUUAGUUCCCCUUCAUCCUUAAAAGCUGGAGCCAUUGUCAGUGUGAGGCUAACGCUUUUACCGCUAUCAAUUACCACUUCUUGACCAUUUUGCAUAAACACCAGCCAA